GACACUAUAGCCAAGUGGUUAAGGCGACAGAUUAGAAUUGCUUGUUUAUCUGUUUCUCUAUGAGAGCGUAGGUUCGAACCCUACUGGUGUCG
RNAcentral lists this transfer RNA (92 nucleotides) under Grifola frondosa (maitake). It matches the Rfam family "tRNA". Rfam says of the family: Transfer RNA (tRNA) molecules are approximately 80 nucleotides in length. Lineage: Eukaryota; Fungi; Basidiomycota; Agaricomycetes; Polyporales; Grifolaceae. The record is from Rfam by way of RNAcentral.